Molecule: long non-coding RNA, 2275 nt
Organism: Danio aesculapii
Lineage: Eukaryota; Metazoa; Chordata; Actinopteri; Cypriniformes; Danionidae
Exons: 3
Source: RefSeq, a predicted model, not a curated record
GGUCAGAUUGUGUUUCCCUAAACACAUCUUCCAACGAUGCAGCUCAUCCGCAUACCUGAGAAAAGCCAACACUAUUAGAGGAAGUCUGUGUGGCUGGAUCUGGCUGAACUGUACCUGCAUGGACACUUGCCAUGGCCAGGAGUGAGGAUUGGCCGGUUCUCCAUUCACUAUGCGAGUGUUGACAGCAGGAGGAAACGUGGGCUUCCCGCAUCUUUCAGGCCAGUCUGUGAAAGAAGAAGAGUUCAGCGUUCAGAGUCAUGUCUUACCCAGUGACUGCAGACUAUCAGAGAUGGUGAGUUUAUCUUUGCCGCAUUGACCCGCUUCACCCACGAUGGCCAAAUCGGUGAUGCGCAGUUUGACAAGAAAGCCUUCAUCCACUGUGAUGUCCCAAGAGCAGCUCAAGUUUGCAGGAUAAGCCUGAGGAUACUUCUCUGAGUUUAUCUGACCUUUACGUCCAAACAGCUUCCCAGGGGAGCCGCAGCCCGAGUCUGAACACAGAGAGAGAGAGAGUUAUUGUCACAAAGAGAAAUUCAUCAUGCUUAAAUAUCAUCUGGCUUCACGUAGGGUAGAAAAGCAUGUUAUGCUCGAUGAUGCCGCUGCAAAUUGGGCUUGUUAACAAAGCAGAUCUGAUUGAUUUUCUUCAAGUGCUGCACUAAAAUGAUGUUGUCUGUUAUUUUGAGUGGGAUUUGAGUUACUGCAAUACAGCAACUCCAAGAGAAUUGAAAUAGCGCACACACACAAGAUCUGAUUUAAUGUCCUUUUCUUACAGAGAAAAUCAAUUAAAUGAAGAGAAUACAGAUAGUUUUGCUCAAGUCUCUAACUGGCGAGGAGGCACAGGACAUCAACAUGACGUCCGAUUGACUUUGUACCCCAACGUCAUGGGGACGUUGCAUUUUGUUUGGAAAUGAAAAUCAGGUUGACAUCAUGAUUUUCCUGACCAACGUCAGGCUGACUUCAAUGUCCAACGUCCAUCCUAAAAUCAACUAAAUAUCAACUUUUAAUGAUGUUACAGUUGACAUUGUGUGAACGUUACCACUCUGACGUCUAUCUGACGUUGGAUAUUGGUUGCCAUACCUGACGAAUAAAUGUCAGUAUUUGAAGUCAAUAUGACGUUGGUUUUAGAUGUUGGCUCGACGUUGAUUUUAGUCACUUAGCAACGCAACCUAAAAUCAACGUCUAAUGAUGUUACAGCUAGACGUUGUGUGGACGUUAACAUUAUGACGUCUAUCAGAUGUUUGACUUUGGCUGCCAUACCUGACGAGUACAUGUCAGUAUUUGACGUCAAUAUGGCGUUGGAUUUAAAUGUUGGCUUGACGUUGGAUUUUGGUCACUUAGCUAAGCAACCUAAAAACAACCAAAUAUCAACAUCUAAUGAUGUUACAGCUUGACGUUGUAUGGACAUUACCACUAUGACGUCUAUCAGACACUGGAUUUUGGUUGUCAUACCUGAUGAAUAAAUGUCAGUAUUUGACGUCAAUAUGACGUUGGUUUUAGAUGUUGGCUUGACGUUGGAUUUUAGUCACUUAGCAACGCAACCUAAAAACAACCAAAUAUUAGCAUCUAAUGAAUGAUGUUACAGCUUGACGUUGUGUGAACAUUACCAAUAUGACAUCUAUCAGACAUGGAUUUUGGUUGCUCUAACUGAUGAAUAAAUGUCAGUAUUUGACAUCAAUAUGACGUUGGUUUAAGAUGUUGGCCCGAUGUGGAUUUUGGUUACUUACCAACACAACCUAAUAUCAACCAAAUAUCAACAUCUAAUGAUGUUACAGCUUGACAUUCUGUGGACGUUACCACUAUGACGUCUAUCAAAUGUUGGAUUUUGGUUGCCAUACCUGACGGAUAAAUGUCAAUAUUUGACGUCAAUAUGAAAAUGAUUUAAGAUGUUGACUCGUCAUUGGCUUUUAGUCACUUUCCAACACAACCUAAUAUCAACCUAAUAUCAACCAAAUAUCAACGUCCUUUCACGUUGCUAUUGUAUGUCCUAAUAAUAUUGUCCUUAGACAUCAGCUAGACAUUAAAUUUUGGUCACCUAACAUCAUGACCUACAUCUAACCUAAUGUUAACGUCUUAUUGUGUUGUGUGCCUGCCGGGUGCCCACAUAUUUGUCAUUUUUUUUUUUUUUUAAGUAGGAACUUUUUUCUUACCCUAUUAAUCAAAUUAAUUGAGAGACAAAAAAAUUGACCACUUGGAAAUUCUCAGUUUCUUAUAAGUUACAACAUGCAAUACUGUAUGUGUUUGAGUAAAACAUAAUUUUUGUUUUUUGUUCUGCACAUUA